Molecule: ribosomal RNA, 249 nt
Filed under: uncultured prokaryote
Description: partial 16S ribosomal RNA
Rfam family: Bacterial small subunit ribosomal RNA
Source: RNAcentral
UACGGAGGAUGCGAGCGUUAUCCGGAUUUAUUGGGUUUAAAGGGUGCGUAGGCAGCCGAGUAAGUCAGCGGUGAAAUUUUGCAGCUUAACUGUAACAGUGCCGUUGAUACUGCAUGGCUAGGAUUUGGUUGCUGUGGGUGGAAUGUGUGGUGUAGCGGUGAAAUGCUUAGAUAUCACACAGAAUAUCAAUUGCGAAGGCAGCUCACAAAGCCAAGAUUGACGCUGAGGCACGAAAGUGUGGGGAUCAAA